GUAGGCUAGUUGAGAACACCUUUAUUUAACCAGGUAGGCUAGUUGAGAACACCUUUAUUUAACCAGGUAGGCUAGUUGAGAACACCUUUAUUUAACCAGGUAGGCUAGUUGAGAACACCUUUAUUUAACCAGGUAGGCUAGUUGAGAACACCUUUAUUUAACCAGGUAGGCUAGUUGAGAACACCUUUAUUUAACCAGGUAGGCUAGUUGAGAACACCUUUAUUUAACCAGGUAGGCUAGUUGAGAACACCUUUAUUUAACCAGGUAGGCUAGUUGAGAACACCUUUAUUUAACCAGGUAGGCUAGUUGAGAACACCUUUAUUUGACCAGGUAGGCUAGUUGAGAACACCUUUAUUUGACCAGGUAGGCUAGUUGAGAACACCUUUAUUUAACCAGGUAGGCUAGUUGAGAACACCUUUAUUUAACCAGGUAGGCUAGUUGAGAACACCUUUAUUUGACCAGGUAGGCUAGUUGAGAACACCUUUAUUUAACCAGGUAGGCUAGUUGAGAACACCUUUAUUUAACCAGGUAGGCUAGUUGAGAACACCUUUAUUUGACCAGGUAGGCUAGUUGAGAACACCUUUAUUUGACCAGGUAGGCUAGUUGAGAACACCUUUAUUUAACCAGGUAGGCUAGUUGAGAACACCUUUAUUUAACCAGGUAGGCUAGUUGAGAACACCUUUAUUUAACCAGGUAGGCUAGUUGAGAACACCUUUAUUUGACCAGGUAGGCUAGUUGAGAACACCUUUAUUUAACCAGGUAGGCUAGUUGAGAACACCUUUAUUUAACCAGGUAGGCUAGUUGAGAACACCUUUAUUUAACCAGGUAGGCUAGUUGAGAACACCUUUAUUUAACCAGGUAGGCUAGUUGAGAACACCUUUAUUUAACCAGGUAGGCUAGUUGAGAACACCUUUAUUUAACCAGGUAGGCUAGUUGAGAACACCUUUAUUUGACCAGGUAGGCUAGUUGAGAACACCUUUAUUUAACCAGGUAGGCUAGUUGAGAACACCUUUAUUUAACCAGGUAGGCUAGUUGAGAACACCUUUAUUUAACCAGGUAGGCUAGUUGAGAACACCUUUAUUUAACCAGGUAGGCUAGUUGAGAACACCUUUAUUUAACCAGGUAGGCUAGUUGAGAACACCUUUAUUUAACCAGGUAGGCUAGUUGAGAACACCUUUAUUUAACCAGGUAGGCUAGUUGAGAACACCUUUAUUUAACCAGGUAGGCUAGUUGAGAACAAGUUCUCAUUUACAACUGCGACCUGGCCAAGAUAAAGCAAA
Molecule: long non-coding RNA, 1280 nt
Organism: Oncorhynchus keta (chum salmon)
Lineage: Eukaryota; Metazoa; Chordata; Actinopteri; Salmoniformes; Salmonidae
Exons: 3
Source: RefSeq, a predicted model, not a curated record